CAAAAGAAUCCCAAUUAUUUAAAUUUAUGGUUACAUUUGAUAAAUAUAUGUACUUAUAUAUACACAUAUAUAAAUUGGUACUUGCGUUAUUAAUUGGAUGAUAUUGGAAUGAGGCAAGAAAACGCAUAUACGAAACACGUUCCCAACAAUUCCUGCUUUACAGCUUAAAAUCUGAAUGGUGAUCUAUAUGUUUGUAUAUAAUCUGGAAUUACAACUAAACUAUACAUAACUAGUACAGACGAAUAAAAAAAUAAUGUAUUUUAUUCAUCAGUUUUCAAAAUCCAAUUACUUAUUUUAAAAGAUAUAUAAAAAAUCGUGAUGAUCAUUGUUCAGGAAUCUCAUUUUAAAUUCAACUGGAUUUGGCAAUAAUAACCGGAAUUGACAAAAAACUCUAUUGAUGCGUUACCGAAAUAGGUUUAAACUGUGUUAUAUUAUAUUCAUUUGAUGUCACUAGUGAUGAGUCAUUGCUUUACAACUCCCGGAUUUGAUACAUUAAAAAACCAACCAUUCUUAUCAACUGGAUUAGAAUUAAUUUAGAUUUCAAAGAUCGAUUGUACUAAUAACUUGACUGUGAUUUGAAGUGAACUGCACUGUUAAAUUGAUCACAUGAGCACAUAUUGAGAUGUGAAAUCAUCGUGAUUUUCAACUUAACAGUUUUUACAGGACUUAACUCUGUCUGUUUCCAAAGUUUUCAAUUAACUAUUAGAAAACUUUUAUUUACACCAUAAACUUCCCCAGGACUUUGAAAUGGGAUGGAGAGAAGGCUUUAGAAAUAAAUUUUUGCCUGUAAAACAAAGGAAAUCAGUUUGAAUUUUGACCUCCUUUGGUGUUACACCUAUUCUUCUCUAUGAAUAUUGAAAAGUGUAUUUGAAAUAAUUUAUUAAUCUCCAAAAUGUACUUAAUGGCCACUGGUUUGUCGUUGGGAUCACUGAUAUAGCUGCCAAUAUUUUUAAUAUUAUGCAGCAUUUAAAAUAAAUUUUUUAAGAAACAUUAUCGGUGGCGAAUCUAUAGCAGUUUCUGGAACACUGCAGUACAAUUCUGGGGUCUGUGAUUCGUUAAAAUUGAUCCUUAUUGGAGAUACUGGGAGACGACUACUCUAGUUAUUAAAUUAAUAAUAAUAACUAUUAAUGUUAAAUUAAAGUGACUCAACUGA
Molecule: long non-coding RNA, 1153 nt
Organism: Teleopsis dalmanni
Lineage: Eukaryota; Metazoa; Arthropoda; Insecta; Diptera; Diopsidae
Exons: 6
Source: RefSeq, a predicted model, not a curated record